RNAcentral lists this unclassified non-coding RNA (240 nucleotides) under soil metagenome. RNAcentral describes it as "partial contains 5.8S ribosomal RNA, internal transcribed spacer 2, and large subunit ribosomal RNA". The record is from RNAcentral.
AACCUUAUGGACCUGCGGGCGUAUACCUGCGGAGGGAUCAUUACCGAGUGAGGGCCCUCCGGGUCCAACCUCCCACCCGUGUUUAACGAACCUUGUUGCUUCGGCGGGCCCGCCUCACGGCCGCCGGGGGGCACCCCGCCCCCGGGCCCGCGCCCGCCGAAGACACCUGUGAACGCUGUCUGAAGUUGCAGUCUGAGACACUAGCUCAAUCAGUUAAAACUUUCAGCAAUGGAUCUCAGA